RNAcentral lists this ribosomal RNA (869 nucleotides) under uncultured Sneathia sp. Its description in RNAcentral is "bacterial SSU rRNA". The stretch from base 4 to 527 matches the Rfam family "Bacterial small subunit ribosomal RNA", at positions 31 to 542 of the family's 1533-position model. The record is from RNAcentral. Lineage: Bacteria; Fusobacteriati; Fusobacteriota; Fusobacteriia; Fusobacteriales; Leptotrichiaceae.
GAUGAACGCUGGCUACAGGCUUAACACAUGCAAGUCGUGGGGAAACGGCAUUAUGUGCUUGCACAUUCUGGACGUCGACCGGCGCACGGGUGAGUAUCGCGUAUCCAACCUGCCCCUUACUUGGGGAUACCCCGUUGAAAGACGGCCUAAUACCCGAUGUGUUUCAUUGACGGCAUCCGAUAUGAAACAAAGGUUUUCCGGUAAGGGAUGGGGAUGCGUCUGAUUAGCUUGUUGGCGGGGCAACGGCCCACCAAGGCGACGAUUAGUAGGGGUUCUGAGAGGAAGGUCUCCCACAUUGGAACUGAGACACGGUCCAAACUCCUACGGGAGGCAGCAGUGAGGAAUAUUGGUCAAUGGACGCAAGUCUUAACCAGCCAAGUAGCGUGCAGGAUGACGUCCCUAUGGGUUGUAAACUGCUUUUAUGUGGUAAUAAAGUUGCGCACGUGUGCGCCAUUGCAUGUACCUCAUGAAUAAUGACCGGCUUAUUCCGUGCCAGCAGCCUCGUUAUACUGGGAGGUCCGGGCGUUUCCUGAUUUUUUGGUUUAAAUGUAGUUUAUGCGGUCUUUUGAUCGUGUUGUGAAAUGUGAGGUCUUGACAUUUGACUUGCUGCGCGUGCUGUCUGAUGUGAUGUGCUGUGCUCAGGUGUAUUGUUGGUGUUGUCGUGUAAAUGUUUUAUAUGAAUAUGUGACUCCAUGACUAAUGUGCGGGCAGGAGUGAUGCGGUGGUUGACCUCGUAGUCGUCUUUCGAUGGAUUUGUGUGCUGGGUGUGCCAUGUGUAUGCUGUGUGUGAUGCUGCUGUGUGUGCCGUGCAAAAAAAUAUAUAUGAUUGUAUGUAUUGUUGGUGCUUGUGCUUGAUGUGCUGUUGUGCG